RNAcentral lists this ribosomal RNA (484 nucleotides) under Clostridium sp. AA 4. RNAcentral describes it as "bacterial SSU rRNA". It matches the Rfam family "Bacterial small subunit ribosomal RNA", at positions 31 to 522 of the family's 1533-position model. Lineage: Bacteria; Bacillati; Bacillota; Clostridia; Eubacteriales; Clostridiaceae. The record is from RNAcentral.
GGCCGCUAGAACGCUGGCGGCGUGCCUACACAUGCAGCUCGAGCGAUGAAGCUCCUUCGGGAGUGAGAUACUAGCGGCGGACGGGUGAGUAACACGUGGGUAACCUGCCUCAUAGAGGGGAAUAGCCUUCCGAAAGGGAGAUUAAUACCGCAUAACAUAGCACUACCGCAUGGUAGAGUUAUCAAAGGAGCAAUCCGCUAUGAGAUGGACCCGCGGCGCAUUAGCUAGUUGGUGAGGUAACGGCUCACCAAGGCGACGAUGCGUAGCCGACCUGAGAGGGUGAUCGGCCACAUUGGAACUGAGACACGGUCCAGACUCCUACGGGAGGCAGCAGUGGGGAAUAUUGCGCAAUGGGGGAAACCCUGACGCAGCAACGCCGCGUGAGUGAAGAAGGCCUUAGGGUUGUAAAGCUCUGUCAUAUGGGAAGAUAAUGACGGUACCAUAAGAGGAAGCCACGGCUAACUACGUGCCAGCCGCCGCGGUA